AGAGUAUACUAAAGUAGAGGAUAAAACAUAACAUGGCGAUCAAGGAGUUCGUGCCAAUUGUGGUGGCGGCGGUAUUGGAGGGAAGGCACUGGGAAGAGCGAUGGCACAUCAGGAGGCUCAGCGUCUUCCUGUCAGUAGUACCGAGAUGUUUGUCCGUAAUGGUUAGCCAAGUUCUCCAGAAGAACCUACAGGGUUGGACAGAAUAAGUAUAGAGACUUAUGUACAUUGUAUGGUAUUGUGAAUGGGUGUCAAAGUAAAUAAUGUAUAAUUAUGUGGUACAUG
Molecule: long non-coding RNA, 282 nt
Organism: Halichondria panicea
Lineage: Eukaryota; Metazoa; Porifera; Demospongiae; Suberitida; Halichondriidae
Exons: 2
Source: RefSeq, a predicted model, not a curated record